Molecule: ribosomal RNA, 316 nt
Filed under: uncultured bacterium
Lineage: Bacteria
Description: bacterial SSU rRNA
Rfam family: Bacterial small subunit ribosomal RNA
Source: RNAcentral
GACGAACGCUGGCGGCGUGCCUAAUACAUGCAAGUAGAACGCUGACUACUUUAGCUUGCUAGAGUAGAAGGAGUUGCGAACGGGUGAGUAACGCGUAGGUAACCUGCCUACUAGCGGGGGAUAACUAUUGGAAACGAUAGCUAAUACCGCAUAACAGUGUUUAACACAUGUUAGAUGCUUGAAAGAUGCAAUUGCAUCACUAGUAGAUGGACCUGCGUUGUAUUAGCUAGUUGGUGGGGUAACGGCCCACCAAGGCGACGAUACAUAGCCGACCUGAGAGGGUGAUCGGCCACACUGGGACUGAGACACGGCCCAG